GAUGAACGCUGACAGAAUGCUUAACACAUGCAAGUCAACUUGAAUUUGGGUUUUUAACUUAGAUUUGGGUGGCGGACGGGUGAGUAACGCGUAAAGAACUUGCCUCACAGCUAGGGACAACAUUUAGAAAUGAAUGCUAAUACCUGAUAUUAUGAUUUUAAGGCAUCUUAGAAUUAUGAAAGCUAUAAGCACUGUGAGAGAGCUUUGCGUCCCAUUAGCUAGUUGGAGAGGUAAUAGCUCACCAAGGCGAUGAUGGGUAGCCGGCCUGAGAGGGUGAACGGCCACAAGGGGACUGAGACACGGCCCUUACUCCUACGGGAGGCAGCAGUGGGGAAUAUUGGACAAUGGACCGAGAGUCUGAUCCAGCAAUUCUGUGUGCACGAUGAAGUUUUUCGGAAUGUAAAGUGCUUUCAGUUGGGAAGAAAAAAAUGACGGUACCAACAGAAGAAGUGACGGCUAAAUACGUGCCAGCAGCCGCGGUAAUACGUAUGUCACGAGCGUUAUCCGGAUUUAUUGGGCGUAAAGCGCGUCUAGGUGGUUAUGUAAGUCUGAUGUGAAAAUGCAGGGCUCAACUCUGUAUUGCGUUGGAAACUGUAUAACUAGAGUACUGGAGAGGUAAGCGGAACUACAAGUGUAGAGGUGAAAUUCGUAGAUAUUUGUAGGAAUGCCGAUGGGGAAGCCAGCUUACUGGACAGAUACUGACGCUAAAGCGCGAAAGCGUGGGUAGCAAACAGG
This 735-nucleotide ribosomal RNA is filed under the name uncultured Fusobacterium sp. Its description in RNAcentral is "bacterial SSU rRNA". It matches the Rfam family "Bacterial small subunit ribosomal RNA", at positions 28 to 776 of the family's 1533-position model. The record is from RNAcentral. Lineage: Bacteria; Fusobacteriati; Fusobacteriota; Fusobacteriia; Fusobacteriales; Fusobacteriaceae.